RNAcentral lists this ribosomal RNA (256 nucleotides) under uncultured bacterium. RNAcentral's name for it is "partial 16S ribosomal RNA". It matches the Rfam family "Bacterial small subunit ribosomal RNA", at positions 524 to 776 of the family's 1533-position model. The record is from RNAcentral.
UACGUAGGGUGCAAGCGUUAAUCGGAAUUACUGGGCGUAAAGCGUGCGCAGGCGGUUUUUGUAAGUCUGUCGUGAAAUCCCCGGGCUCAACCUGGGAAUUGCGAUGGAGACUGCAAGGCUAGAAUCUGGCAGAGGGGGGGUAGAAUUCCACGUGUAGCAGUGAAAUACGUAGAGAUGUGGAAGGAACACCGAUGGCGAAGGCAGCCCCCUGGGUCAAGAUUGACGCUCAUGCACGAAAGCGUGGGGAGCAAACAGG